RNAcentral lists this ribosomal RNA (253 nucleotides) under uncultured bacterium. Its description in RNAcentral is "partial 16S ribosomal RNA". It matches the Rfam family "Bacterial small subunit ribosomal RNA", at positions 524 to 776 of the family's 1533-position model. The record is from RNAcentral.
UACGGAGGGUGCAAGCGUUAUCCGGAUUUAUUGGGUUUAAAGGGUGCGUAGGUGGAUUGGUAAGUCAGUGGUGAAAUACUUUCGCUUAACGAAGGAACUGCCAUUGAUACUACCAGUCUUGAAUACAGUGGAGGUAGGCGGAAUGCGUCAUGUAGCGGUGAAAUGCUUAGAUAUGACGCAGAACACCAAUUGCGAAGGCAGCUUGCUACAUUGUUAUUGACACUGAGGCACGAAAGCGUGGGGAUCAAACAGG